RNAcentral lists this ribosomal RNA (450 nucleotides) under uncultured bacterium. RNAcentral's name for it is "bacterial SSU rRNA". It matches the Rfam family "Bacterial small subunit ribosomal RNA", at positions 354 to 796 of the family's 1533-position model. The record is from RNAcentral.
GUGGGGAAUCUUGCGCAAUGGGCGAAAGCCUGACGCAGCGACGCCGCGUGUGCGAUGAAGGCCUUUGGGUCGUAAAGCACUGUCGAGCGGAACGAAAGUCGGCGGCCGAUAAAGCCGCAGAUCUGACGGUACCGCUAAAGGAAGCACCGGCCAACUCUGUGCCAGCAGCCGCGGUAAUACAGAGGGUGCAAACGUUGCUCGGAAUUAUUGGGCGUAAAGCGCGUGUAGGCCGCUAAUUAAGUCGACUGUGAAAGCCCUUGGCUCAACCAAGGAAGUGCAGCCGAAACUGAUUGGCUCGAGUCCCGAAGAGGGUGGCGGAAUGCCCAGUGUAGAGGUGAAAUUCGCAGAGAUUGGGUAGAACACCGGUGGCGAAGGCGGCCACCUGGGAGGGUACUGACGCUGAGACGCGAAAGCGUGGGGAUCAAACAGGAUUAGAUACCCUAGUAGUCC